Molecule: microRNA precursor, 59 nt
Filed under: Limulus polyphemus (Atlantic horseshoe crab)
Lineage: Eukaryota; Metazoa; Arthropoda; Merostomata; Xiphosura; Limulidae
Description: Lpo-Mir-29-P1m_pre stem-loop
Rfam family: mir-29 microRNA precursor family
About the family: This family represents the microRNA (miRNA) precursors mir-29. Animal miRNAs are transcribed as ~70nt precursors and subsequently processed by the Dicer enzyme to give a ~22nt product.
Source: RNAcentral
ACUGGGUUCGUAUGGUGCAUAGAUGCAUUAGCAAUUCUAGCACCAUUUGAAUUCAGUUC